This 572-nucleotide ribosomal RNA is filed under the name uncultured Saccharomyces. RNAcentral describes it as "eukaryotic LSU rRNA". It matches the Rfam family "Eukaryotic large subunit ribosomal RNA", at positions 62 to 648 of the family's 3401-position model. The record is from RNAcentral. Lineage: Eukaryota; Fungi; Ascomycota; Saccharomycetes; Saccharomycetales; Saccharomycetaceae.
AAACCAACCGGGAUUGCCUUAGUAACGGCGAGUGAAGCGGCAAAAGCUCAAAUUUGAAAUCUAGUACCUUCGGUGCUCGAGUUGUAAUUUGUAGAGGGAUACUUUGGGGCCGUUCCUUGUCUAUGUUCCUUGGAACAGGACGUCAUAGAGGGUGAGAAUCCCGUGUGGCGAGGAGUGCGGUUCUUUGUAAAGUGCCUCCGAAGAGUCGAGUUGUUUGGGAAUGCAGCUCUAAGUGGGUGGUAAAUUCCAUCUAAAGCUAAAUAUUGGCGAGAGACCGAUAGCGAACAAGUACAGUGAUGGAAAGAUGAAAAGAACUUUGAAAAGAGAGUGAAAAAGUACGUGAAAUUGUUGAAAGGGAAGGGCAUUUGAUCAGACAUGGUGUUUUGUGCCCUCUGCUCCUUGUGGGUAGGGGAAUCUCGCAUUUCACUGGGCCAGCAUCAGUUUUGGUGGUCGGACAAAUCCGUAGGAAUGUAGCUUACCUCGGUAAGUGUUAUAGCCUGCGGGAAUACGGCCAGCCGGGACUGAGGACUGCGACUUUUGCCAAGGAUGAUGGCAUAAUGGUUAUAUGCCGC